This 454-nucleotide ribosomal RNA is filed under the name uncultured bacterium. RNAcentral's name for it is "partial 16S ribosomal RNA". It matches the Rfam family "Bacterial small subunit ribosomal RNA", at positions 28 to 507 of the family's 1533-position model. The record is from RNAcentral.
GAUGAACGCUGACAGAAUGCUUAACACAUGCAAGUCAACUUGAACUUCGGUUUGGGUGGCGGCCGGGUGAGUAACGCGUAAAGAACUUGCCUCACAGAUAGGGACAACAUUUGGAAACGAAUGCUAAUACCUGAUAUUAUGAUUAUAUGGCAUCGUAUAAUUAUGAAAGCUAUAUGCGCUGUGAGAGGGCUUUGCGUCCCAUUAGCUAGUUGGAGAGGUAACGGCUCACCAAGGCGAUGAUGGGUAGCCGGCCUGAGAGGGUGAUCGGCCACAAGGGGACUGAGACACGGCCCAUACGCCUCCGGCCGGAAGCGGUGCAGAAUGUUGGACAAUGGACCAAGAGUCUGAUCCAGCAAUUCUGUGUGCACGAUGAAGUUUUUCGGAAUGUAAAGUGCUUUCAGUUGGGAAGAAAAAAAUGACGGUACCAACAGAAGAAGUGACGGCUAAAUACGUG